GAUGAACGCUGGCGGCGUGCCUAAUACAUGCAAGUCGAGCGAACGGACGAGAAGCUUGCUUCUCUGAUGUUAGCGGCGGACGGGUGAGUAACACGUGGAUAACCUACCUAUAAGACUGGGAUAACUUCGGGAAACCGGAGCUAAUACCGGAUGAUAUUUUGAACCGCAUGGUUCAAAAGUGAAAGACGGUCUUGCUGUCACUUAUAGAUGGAUCCGCGCUGCAUUAGCUAGUUGGUAAGGUAACGGCUUACCAAGGCAACGAUGCAUAGCCGACCUGAGAGGGUGAUCGGCCACACUGGAACUGAGACACGGUCCAGACUCCUACGGGAGGCAGCAGUAGGGAAUCUUCCGCAAUGGGCGAAAGCCUGACGGAGCAACGCCGCGUGAGUGAUGAAGGUCUUCGGAUCGUAAAACUCUGUUAUUAGGGAAGAACAUAUGUGUAAGUAACUGUGCACAUCUUGACGGUACCUAAUCAGAAAGCCACGGCUAACUACGUGCCAGCAGCCGCGGUAAUACGUAGGUGGCAAGCGUUAUCCGGAAUUAUUGGGCGUAAAGCGCGCGUAGGCGGUUUUUUAAGUCUGAUGUGAAAGCCCACGGCUCAACCGUGGAGGGUCAUUGGAAACUGGAAAACUUGAGUGCAGAAGAGGAAAGUGGAAUUCCAUGUGUAGCGGUGAAAUGCGCAGAGAUAUGGAGGAACACCAGUGGCGAAGGCGACUUUCUGGUCUGUAACUGACGCUGAUGUGCGAAAGCGUGGGGAUCAAACAGGAUUAGAUACCCUGGUAGUCCACGCCGUAAACGAUGAGUGCUAAGUGUUAGGGGGUUUCCGCCCCUUAGUGCUGCAGCUAACGCAUUAAGCACUCCGCCUGGGGAGUACGACCGCAAGGUUGAAACUCAAAGGAAUUGACGGGGACCCGCACAAGCGGUGGAGCAUGUGGUUUAAUUCGAAGCAACGCGAAGAACCUUACCAAAUCUUGACAUCCUUUGACAACUCUAGAGAUAGAGCCUUCCCCUUCGGGGGACAAAGUGACAGGUGGUGCAUGGUUGUCGUCAGCUCGUGUCGUGAGAUGUUGGGUUAAGUCCCGCAACGAGCGCAACCCUUAAGCUUAGUUGCCAUCAUUAGGUUGGGCACUCUAAGUUGACUGCCGGUGACAAACCGGAGGAAGGUGGGGAUGACGUCAAAUCAUCAUGCCCCUUAUGAUUUGGGCUACACACGUGCUACAAUGGACAAUACAAAGGGCAGCGAAACCGCGAGGUCAAGCAAAUCCCAUAAAGUUGUUCUCAGUUCGGAUUGUAGUCUGCAACUCGACUACAUGAAGCUGGAAUCGCUAGUAAUCGUAGAUCAGCAUGCUACGGUGAAUACGUUCCCGGGUCU
This 1372-nucleotide ribosomal RNA is filed under the name uncultured bacterium. Its description in RNAcentral is "bacterial SSU rRNA". It matches the Rfam family "Bacterial small subunit ribosomal RNA", at positions 28 to 1381 of the family's 1533-position model. The record is from RNAcentral.